Oncorhynchus keta (chum salmon) is the source of this 5080-nucleotide long non-coding RNA. RefSeq lists it as uncharacterized. NCBI's taxonomy places the organism in Eukaryota, Metazoa, Chordata, Actinopteri, Salmoniformes, Salmonidae. The record is from RefSeq and is a predicted model, not a curated record. The transcript has 4 exons.
AUGAAUGAGAUUUAGGUAGUAGGAGAGUAAGGGAAGAGGAGAAGAAGGAGGGAUUAUGGAGGGAGGAGAGAAGAGAAUGAAUGAGAUUUAGGUAGUAGGAGAGCAAGGGAAGAGGAGAAGAAGGAGGGAUUAUGGAGGGAGGAGAGAAGAGAAUGAAUGAGAUUUAGGUAGUAGGAGAGCAAGGGAAGAGGAGAAGAAGGAGGGAUUAUGGAGGGAGGAGAGAAGAGAAUGAAUGAGAUUUAGGUAGUAGGAGAGCAAGGGAAGAGGAGAAGAAGGAGGGAUUAUGGAGGGAGGAGAGAAGAGAAUGAAUGAGAUUUAGGUAGUAGGAGAGCAAGGGAAGAGGAGAAGAAGGAGGGAUUAUGGAGGGAGGAGAGAAGAGAAUGAAUGAGAUUUAGGUAGUAGGAGAGCAAGGGAAGAGGAGAAGAAGGAGGGAUUAUGGAGGGAGGAGAGAAGAGAAUGAAUGAGAUUUAGGUAGUAGGAGAGCAAGGGAAGAGGAGAAGAAGGAGGGAUUAUGGAGGGAGGAGAGAAGAGAGGAAGGAGAGAAGAGAGGAUUAUUUAGGUCAGGCUGGACAGAUGCUGGGUAGUCUCUCUGAGGAGAUUCAGCAGAUUACACACACGCGCCCUACUACACCACAACUGACAGAAUUUAUUAUAACUUUGUCAUAAAGUGUUAUUAUUGACUGACGUCUUGUCUCAGUGCUAAAACUAAUAAAGCAAAUCUGAUAAGCUGAAGCUCUAGACAUGUUUUGGGGAUUUCUGCAUGCCAUACCCCCAACUGUCUUCUUCAUUUGAUAGAUUUGAGGAGUGAGGCAGUGGAAGAAGCAUCGGCAUGUCAUUUCUGCUAGAUUAAACAGUCUAGAUCAGCUCGUCAUGUAUGACAGCUCGCCUCAUUAUUCAGAGCUGUGUUUAGCAGAAAUCUCUAUCCUGCCUGCCUAACCUAGUGACAUACACACACUCAGCGUAGGAAGAACAACGUCAUCAAUUGAAAGACAUGUAUAAACAGCUCGACAAGCAUGAACCUCGUCUAGCUAUAGACAUAAACUCACAUACAGUUAGCCAAAUACAUUUAAACUCAGUUUUUGACAAUUCCUGACAUUUAAUCCUAGUAACCAUUGCCUGUCUUAUGCCAUUUAGGAUCACCACUUUAUUUUAAGAAUGUGAAAUACAUCCACAGGGACACCUCCAAUUGACUCAAAUGAUGUCAAUUAGCCUAUCAGAAGCUUCUAAAGCCAUGACAUCAUUUUCUGGAAUUUUCCAAGCUGUUUAAAGGCACAGUCAACUUAGUGUAUGUAAACUUCUGACCCACUGGAAUUGUGAUACAGUGAAAUAGAAGUUAAUUAUAAUCUGUCUGUAAACAAUUGUUGGAAAAAGUACUUGUGUCAUGCACAAAGUAGAUGUCCUAACCGACUUGCCAAAACGAUAGUUUGUUAAAAUAAAUUUGUGGAGUGGUUGAAAAAUGAGUUUUAAUGACUCCAACCUAAGUGUAUGUAAACGUACGACUUCAACUGUAAGUAUUCAGACCCUUUACUCAGUACUUUGUUGAAGCACCUUUGGCAGCGAUUACAGUCUUCUUGGGUAUGACGCUGCAAGCUUGACACACCUGUAUUUGGGGAGUUUCUCCCAUUGUUCUCUGCAGAUCCUCUCAAGCUCUGUCAGGUUGGAUGGGGAGCGAUGCUGCAUAGCUAUUUUAAGGUAUUUCCAGAGAUGUUGGAUCAGGUUCAAGUCUGGCCUCUGGCAUGGCCCCUCAAGGGGACAUUCAGAGACUUUUCCCAAAGCCACUCUUGUUGUGUCUUGGCUGUGGGCUUAGGGUCGUUGUCCAGUUGGAAGGUAAACCUUUUCCCCAGUCUAAGGUACUGAGAGCUCUGGAGCAGGAUUUUAUCAAGGAUCUCUCUGUACUUUGCUCUGUUCAUCUUUCCCUCAAUCCUGACUAGUCUCCCAGUCCCUGCCUCUGAAAAACAUCCCCACAGCAUGAUAGUGCCACCACCAUGCUUUACUGUAGGGAUGGUAUUGGGCAGGUGAUGAGCAGUGCCUGGUUUCUUCCAGAUGUGACACUUGGCAUUCCAGCCAAAGAGUUCAAUCUUGGUUUAAUCAGACCAGGGAAUCUUGUUUCACAUGGUCUGAGAGUUCUUUCGAGGCCUUUUGGCAAACUCCAAUUGGGCUGUCACGUGCCUUUUACUGAAGAGUGGCUUCCGUCUGGCCACUCUAUCAUAAAGGCCUGAUUGGUGGAGUGGUGCAGAGAUGGUUGUCCUUCUGGAAGGUUCUCCCAUCUCCAGAAGAACUCUUGAGCUCUGUCACAGUGACCAUCGGGUUCUUGGUCACCUCCCUGACCUAGGCCCUUCUCCCCUGAUUGCUCAGUUUGGCCGGGCGGCCAGCUCUAGGAAGAGUUUUGGUGGUUCCAAACUUCUUCCAUUUACGAAUGAUGGAGGCCACUGUGUUCUUGGGGAUCUUCAAUGCCGCAGAAAUGUUUUUGUACCCUUUCCCAGAUCUGUGCCUCGACACAAUCAUGUCUCGGAGCUCUACGGACAAUUCCUUCGACCUCAUGGCUUGGUUUUUGCUCUGACUUACACUUUCAACUGAGGGAUCUUAUAUAGACAGGUGUGUGCCUUUCCAAAUCAUGUCCAAUCAAUUACAUUUACCACUAGUGGACUACAAUCAAGUUGCAGAAACAUCUCAAGGAUGGUCAAACGAAACAGGAUGCACCUGAGCUCAAUUUCGAUUCUCAUAGCAAAGAGUCUGAAUAUAAUUUAAUCAAUUUCAGAAUAAGGCUGUCACGUAAUAAAAUGCGGAAAAAGUCAAGGGGUCUGAAUACUUUCCGAAUGCACUGUAUUACUUGCUAAUGUUUGGUUCCUGGACAAUAAAGUAGACAAGCUUCUCCGUCCAGAGAUAAUCAGGAAUUGUAACAUUCUGUUUCAAGGAUUCAUACCUCUCUCCGGAUAUACUGUCCCUGUCCAUACAGCCAGCUGGGUUCUCAGUACAUCGCACAGACAGGAAUAAAGAGCUCUCUCAGGAAAAAGAAAGGUGGAGGUUUCAUGAUUAACUACUCAUGGUGCGAUCGUGGUAACGUACAGGAAAUCAAGUCCGGCAUACACAUAUUUAUCAGAUGUUAUUGCGGGUGUAGCUAAAUGCUUGUGUUCCUAUCUCUGGGAUACUAGUCAGGAUCGAGGGAAAAAUGAACAGAGCAAAGUACAGAAACAUCCUUGAUGUAAACCUGCUCCAGUGCGCUCAGGACCUCAGACUUCAGCACACAGCCAAAACAAUUCAGGAGUGGCUUCGGGAAAAGUCUCUGAAUGUCCUUGAGUGGCCCACCCAGAUCCCGGACUUGAACCAGAUCAAACAUCUCUGGAGAGACCUUAAAAUAGCUGUGCAGCAACACUCCCCAUCCUACCUGACAGAACUUGAGAGGAUCUGCGGGGAAGAAUGGGAGAAACUCCUCAAAUACAGGUGUGCCAAGCUUGUAGGAUCACACCCAAGAAGACUCGCGUCUGUAAUCGCUGCCAAAGGUACUUCAACAAAGUACUGAUUAAAGGGUCUGAAUAUGUCAGGAUUUGGCCAGGGUUGUUCCGGUUUUUGGUCACUAGAUGCCCCCAUUGUGCUUUUUGACCUUUUGUUUUCCCUUGAUCCCCAUUAUUAUUUGCACCUGUGCCUCAUUUCCCCUGAUUGUAUUUAAACCCUUAGUUUUCCUCAGUUCUUUGCUCUGUGUUUGUAUGUUAGCACCCAGCCCUAGUAUUCUGUGAACUCUUGUUGAUCCCGGUGGACUCUCUUGUGGAAUUCUUUUUUUUGUUCUUGUUUAUUUAUUUUUGAGUAUCUUUUGAGGCUUUUUAUGCUAUACCUACCACCUUGUGGAUUUACCUUUUUGUCUUGGAGGAUUACCUUUGUUCUUGUGGAAUUCCUUUUGAGGUUGUGGAGUUUCAUGUUUUCCUGAAGGACUUCACUUUUUACUUCAUUAAAUACAUCGUCUCAAGUACUGCUGUGUCUGCCUCAUCUUCUGGGUUCUGCCGACUAUUCGUGGCUCAGUUGGUUAAGUGACUGUUUCUCACUCCGGAGACCCGGGUUCGUAACCGGGUCCUGACAGAAUAGUUAUGUAAAUGUUAUAUUUCAGUUUGUUUUGCAAAAAUGUUUUUGCUUCGUCAAUAUGGGGUAUUGUGUGUAGAUUGAUGAGGAGAAAAACACCAAUUUAAUCAAUUUUAGAAUAAGGCUGUAACGUAACAAAAUGUGGGAAAGGUAAAGGGGUCUGAAUACUUACACUACAGCCAUACCCCAGCAGACAUGCCACUAUGAGUUUCUUCACUGUACCCAGACUAAAAACAGAUUUAAUGCAUCGCAUUUAGGUAGAGCCAUGUCAUUAUGGGAUGCUCUGCCACAAGAGGUUACUCAGGCAAAAAGCAGUGUUUAGCUUUGAAAAACAGCUAAAAAAACCAUUGUAUCACAGCACCUCUCAUCUUUUUAAAUAUCUACUUCAACUGUACUGUAUAUAAGAAUAAGAAUAUGUAUAUACGAUAUGAUAGUGUCUAAAUAGUCUUUUUUACAUGUCUCUUGGUGGCUUUCCAAUAUAUAACUUUUUAUUUUAUUUUGAAUUUAAUGUAAUAGCUCAUGUUCUUGUGUAUAGCUGUUCUGUACUUGGUCAUGUAUGUGUAUGUUUCAUGUGGACCCCAGGAAGAGCAGCUAAACAAAACCUUAAAUUAGCCAGCAGGCCUGCCCAUGUCUGUACCACGCUAAUCUGCACUGUUAGAAAAGCUCAUUAAAAAUUACACAUAGAGACAGGGAUGCUCCCUCUCUUCCUGUGUCACACAGUGAGUCACAUACACACAAGCAUAAACACAAUCUCAUACACAUAGUUUCACACACAGUUUCACACAAUGACACACAUGCAAGCAAGCACAAUAAUGAACACACACACACACACACACACACACACACACACACACACACACACACACACACACACACACACACACACACACACACACACACACACACACACACACACACACACACACACACACACACACACACACACACACACACACACACACACACACACACACACCACCCACUCCCCCAACAGAAAAAACACACACUC